This 72-nucleotide long non-coding RNA is filed under the name Mustela putorius furo (domestic ferret). Its description in RNAcentral is "lncRNA (ENSMPUG00000031288.1)". The record is from RNAcentral. Lineage: Eukaryota; Metazoa; Chordata; Mammalia; Carnivora; Mustelidae.
CUUUAAUCCACUGAGCCACCCAGGCUCCCAGAAAAAAAAAAAAAAAAUUUUUUUUUUAAUUAAAAAAUUGGG